This 275-nucleotide ribosomal RNA is filed under the name uncultured bacterium. RNAcentral's name for it is "partial 16S ribosomal RNA". It matches the Rfam family "Bacterial small subunit ribosomal RNA", at positions 523 to 796 of the family's 1533-position model. The record is from RNAcentral.
AGACGGAGGGCGCAAGCGUUGUUCGGAAUUACUGGGCGUAAAGGGCAGGUAGGUGGUCUGUUAAGUCUUCUGUGAAAAUCCGGGGCUCAACCCCGCGAAAUGCAAAUGAUACUGGCGGACUGGAGACCGGUAGAGGCUAGCGGAAUUCCUGGUGUAGCGGUGGAAUGCGUAGAUAUCCGGAAGAACACCUGUGGCGAAGGCGGCUAGCUGGGCCGGGUCUGACGCUGAACCGCGAAAGCGUGGGGAGCAAACAGGAUUAGAAACCCGAGUAGUCC